AUGAAUGAAUUGUGGUGCAAGAAUGUAGCGACUUAUUCAAUACUUCAAAAGUCAAGACUGUGGGGUCUAUAAGCCAAGAGUAUCUGGCUGAUUUUUAAAAUUUUAUACGAAUAAAAUUUUUCCUCUUAUAUAAUUUAGUAAUUAGACUUAUUGGUAGUUUUUGAUAGUUAUUUGCAUGAAUGGAGGGCUUAUCUCCCAUAACCACGUGGAAUUUUAAAUACUGUAGGAGUGAGUGAAUGUAAUGUAUUAGCGUGAAUGUAAUAUCCCAUUACUUCAAGGAAUAAUGAGUAUUCUGUAGUAGUGUGAAUGCUAACCAGACUAUCAUGUUUUAUCUUGUGUAUCCGUGUUAUUUUAUACCUAAUUGACAAUGCCCUAAGGUACAGAGAGGGUAACAGUAGGAUAAAGAGAAACAGGAAAAAAAAUUAGUGGUAUUAAAACACGAUAAAGGUAAUUCACCAGAUUUGGAUCCCAUGAAUGUGCAAAUCCUUCAUCGGCGCAGUAGCUUUUUCCCAUCUUAGGAAUCUCUAUAUUUUCAGAGCUUGUCGCUUUGCGGAUUGUGAAGAUUUCAAGAAGUUCUAUCACGUCCUCUCUUGAGCCAAGGUAUAGUGGACAUGUCCGGUGAA
Molecule: long non-coding RNA, 623 nt
Filed under: Cimex lectularius (bed bug)
Lineage: Eukaryota; Metazoa; Arthropoda; Insecta; Hemiptera; Cimicidae
Description: uncharacterized LOC106667723, transcript variant X2
Source: RNAcentral